GCUGGGUCCAGGGAAAGGAUGUCCCCCUGUGCAGACCAGUUGCCUGUGGGGGUCCCAGCCUCCCCUGUCACUUGAGAGGAAAAGCAAAUGUGCACACCCAUGGGAGCAGUGGCCUGGGGAGACAAAAAAAGUCUCUCCCACCCACCCUGUCAGGAGUAAUGGCAGGGCCAGCAUGGAUGCGGAGGUAGUCAUUCAGGAGGGGCAGGUUGUGGUCCCAGAGGUGAAGGACAGUCUGCCCACGCCCCACCAUCCUCACUACCAGGCUAUCAUUUGUUGCUCCACGGCUCACUCCCACCAGGUCAAAUCUGCAGGAUGAAGGAAAAUAAGGUUACAAGUGAGAAUGAUACAUGUGUGAUUGUGUAGUGCUUUGAGCCAUCCCAUGUAGGAUUGCCACUUUGAUAUAUAGAUAGAUAAAAUGAGAUGGGGGAAAAGCACAAAGGAAGAUAAUGCAUGCCUUCUUUCUCUGAAUAUAAUGUCUUUCCCUCUUCCUUUGAUCUCAAUCAUCUUUUCCUACCUCCCUCUUUGUUUUUAUGUAAGAGGGCCUCUGAAUAAAAAUGGGCCCACUUGAAGUUGCUAAUCAUUGAAGAAGAUAUUAUAAUAGCAAGGCCUAAGUUACAUUGAGAGUAUCUUGAAACCUCUGUGCUAUUUACCCUAAUCCCACUCUUCCAUCUCUCACCUGGAGGGCCUGAAGGCUGGAUGAGCAUUGGUGGCGUGGAAGAUGCGUCCCCUGUUAUCGUGGUAGGAAAGAUGGAGGUUGAAACUUGCCCCAACUGGCAACCAAGGGAGUGGGGUACUGGUCACAGCACCUACCAAGCCACCCACCUCCCCUUGCAAGUAGCUCACCUUUUUCACCUGCAAUGGAAAGGAUGAAAGAUGCUUACUUGAAGGAAAAUGGUGGAUAGAAGUAAGAGGCUGGGAAAGGAAAAAUACAAUAAGGAAAACAAAUAUUUAUCUGAAGAAAUAAGGAAGGGUGACAUACAAACACGGACAAACUCUGGGUGACACCAUAGGUCUCAGUGACAGUGACAACAACAGUGGCCUGGCCAGUCUGCUCCCCUGCCUUCACCAAGCCAUCUGGGCACACCUCCACCACUUGGCUUUCCUUGCCACCCUCACUGCAAG
Long non-coding RNA from Scylla paramamosain (green mud crab), 1122 nucleotides. RefSeq lists it as uncharacterized. The record is from RefSeq and is a predicted model, not a curated record. The transcript is spliced from 3 exons. NCBI's taxonomy places the organism in Eukaryota, Metazoa, Arthropoda, Malacostraca, Decapoda, Portunidae.